RNAcentral lists this long non-coding RNA (229 nucleotides) under Setaria italica (foxtail millet). RNAcentral's name for it is "long non-coding RNA (SITA_LNC000365)". The record is from RNAcentral. Lineage: Eukaryota; Viridiplantae; Streptophyta; Magnoliopsida; Poales; Poaceae.
GACGCAAGAGUCUCAAACGAAGGUCCUCUGGGAUGCAAGCCAGACUCGGAAUGUGCUAAACUGCUGAGCAAACCAGUGAACCCUAGGUGGUGCUCAGAUGGUCUGACUAAGUCCCAAAAAAGGAGGGUCCAACGUUUGUGCCAAUGGGAGCAGCAAGAAGAGGAACAAAGGCAAGCGGUGGACAAGAGAGGAGUCAAGUCUCAAAUUUGGCACCCCAGAAGAAAAGCUG